AACACACUGAACACACAUCACACAUCAGACACAGAUCAUUUGGGUUUCUGCACCAGGAAAAAACUUUCUACUGCACUUAUCAUCAAGACAAGACAUUAUGAGUGAUAACCAGGGCGCGCCAGCCACGGGGCCAGAGGUGACAGGACCUGACGCAGACGGACAUGGAAAACAUCAUGGAAAACAUGGAAAACAUCACGAAAUACAUCAUGGAAUACAUCAUGGGAAAGAACAUAAAGACAAGGGAGAAGGAAAACCAGAUGAAACGAAAGGAGGUCAUGGUCAUGGUCAUGGUCAUGGUCAUGGUAAAUGAUGAAGAAUCGACAAUCUGUGAUAAUGAUUAUAAAGAAUUCAAUACAUAAUCUCUAAUAAACUAAUCCAGAAAAAAAGCAA
Perca fluviatilis (European perch) is the source of this 390-nucleotide long non-coding RNA. RefSeq lists it as uncharacterized. The record is from RefSeq and is a predicted model, not a curated record. Lineage: Eukaryota; Metazoa; Chordata; Actinopteri; Perciformes; Percidae. The transcript is spliced from 4 exons.